This is a long non-coding RNA of Rhagoletis zephyria (snowberry fruit fly), 108 nucleotides long. RefSeq lists it as uncharacterized. Lineage: Eukaryota; Metazoa; Arthropoda; Insecta; Diptera; Tephritidae. The record is from RefSeq and is a predicted model, not a curated record.
CGCUUCAGGAUCGCCCAGAGCUGGGUCGUACUGAUUCCUUUAGGAAUCAAAUUACUCCCAAUUACAGAUUACAAGGAAUUGUAAUUAGGAAUCAAUUCCUUCAGUCCA